UACGUAGGUGGCAAGCGUUAUCCGGAUUUACUGGGUGUAAAGGGCGUGUAGGCGGGACUGCAAGUCAGAUGUGAAAACCACGGGCUCAACCUGUGGCCUGCAUUUGAAACUGUAGUUCUUGAGUACUGGAAAGGCAGACGGAAUUCCUAGUGUAGCGGUGAAAUGCGUAGAUAUUAGGAGGAACACCAGUGGCGAAGGCGGUCUGCUGGACAGCAACUGACGCUGAGGCGCGAAAGCGUGGGGAGCAAACAGG
RNAcentral lists this ribosomal RNA (253 nucleotides) under uncultured bacterium. RNAcentral's name for it is "partial 16S ribosomal RNA". It matches the Rfam family "Bacterial small subunit ribosomal RNA", at positions 524 to 776 of the family's 1533-position model. The record is from RNAcentral.